Molecule: ribosomal RNA, 477 nt
Filed under: Candidatus Scalindua brodae
Lineage: Bacteria; Pseudomonadati; Planctomycetota; Candidatus Brocadiia; Candidatus Brocadiales; Candidatus Scalinduaceae
Description: bacterial SSU rRNA
Rfam family: Bacterial small subunit ribosomal RNA
Source: RNAcentral
UUCGCAAUGCCCGAAAGGGUGACGAAGCGACGCCGCGUGGGUGAGGAAGGCCUUCGGGUUGCAAAGCCCUGUCAGGAGUUAAGAAAUGUAAGUGCGCUAAUAUCGCAUUUAUUUGACGAAGGCUCCAAAGGAAGUCACGGCUAACUCUGUGCCAGCAGCCGCGGUAAUACAGAGGUGGCAAGCGUUGUUCGGAAUUAUUGGGCGUAAAGAGCACGUAGGUGGGUUUGUAAGUCAGAUGUGAAAGCCUUCUGUUCAACGGAAGAAUUGCAUCUGAAACUGCAAGUCUUGAGUGUAGGAGGGGAGAAUGGAACUUCUGGUGGAGCGGUGAAAUGCGUAGAUAUCAGAAGGAACGCCGGCGGCGAAAGCGAUUCUCUGGCCUAUUACUGACACUCAGUGUGCGAAAGCCAGGGGAGCAAACGGGAUUAGAUACCCCGGUAGUCCUAGCCGUAAACGAUGGGCACUAAGUAGAGGGGUUUU